UACGAAGGGGGCUAGCGUUGUACGGAAUUACUGGGCGUAAAGCGUGCGUAGUCGGUUAUUUAAGUCGGGUGUGAAAGCCCCGGGCUCAACCUGGGAAUUGCAUUCGAUACUGGAUAGCUAGAGUUCGGCAGAGGGAAGCGGAAUUUCCGGUGUAGCGGUGAAAUGCGUAGAUAUCGGAAGGAACAUCAGUGGCGAAAGCGGCUUCCUGGACCAGAACUGACGAUCAGGCACGAAAGCGUGGGGAGCAAACAGG
This 253-nucleotide ribosomal RNA is filed under the name uncultured bacterium. RNAcentral describes it as "partial 16S ribosomal RNA". It matches the Rfam family "Bacterial small subunit ribosomal RNA", at positions 524 to 776 of the family's 1533-position model. The record is from RNAcentral.